Molecule: long non-coding RNA, 1640 nt
Filed under: Phasianus colchicus (ring-necked pheasant)
Lineage: Eukaryota; Metazoa; Chordata; Aves; Galliformes; Phasianidae
Description: lncRNA (ENSPCLG00000020675.1)
Source: RNAcentral
CUAAAAGCUCUGCCAAAGUCCAGUUAAAUUAUGUUCACUGUCAUGUUCCCAUCCAACAAGCUACUCAAAUCAUCAUGAAAGGCUGCCAGGUUUGUCAAGCUUCUUUCUCCUUUGUGAAUCUAUAGUGACAAUAACCACUCACUUUUUUGUCAUCAUUUUAGAAAUGUCUUCCAGCCUGCAGUUGGUACAGUUCUCUGGAUCUUCUACCUGUCUGAAGAUAGAAGUGAAAUUUUCAACAGAAAUUAUGCUCAAACAUUUCUGUACUGGCUUUUCAUUUGACCUGCAAGAGUAUCUUUUGGACUGGCUUUGGGAGAUCCAAACUGAAGAUCUAGGAGAGAAAGCCUAGGGGAACACUGUACAUAGCAGUCUCCACACAUCCUAUGAGUCCUCUUAUCCAUACUACUGAUUGACAUCAAGCAGAAAAAAAUGCCCAGAGUCUGUCAAAGAAAAGUAUGACGCUGGUAUCAAGAAUAGAUGGGACACAUUAAAUGCAGAAUAUCAAUCUAUUACCUACACAGACAUCACAGAAGAAGCCAGAAAAGCCAGAUUCCCUUCAGGCCAUUUCUGUACAUGAUAGUGUUUCAAAGUCUACUGGAUGUUUGUCUGCUUUAAUUACUUUGUCAAACUUCACGUUGGCUGGAUAUGAGGAUGUUUUACAAACAAAAGUCCUGAUAGAGAAGAAAACGUAUUUCUUUACAAAGCAAUAAAGAUGGAAGAAAGGAAGAAAGGAGAUACGCUGUUCUGUAUAUUUUUCUACAUAGAUUUGUCUGAGCUGUGGAACAUUUUAGUACAGUUUGAUCAGAUAUCUAUCAGGAACAGGUUAAGCAUAGUGCUGUGGCAGGGAAAGCCCAAGUGACCACUUAAAUCCCAAUGACUCCCUGAGAUCCCAGCUCUACUUUCUUCUGAGUAACCUGGUCAAAAUCCAAUCUGAGAGAGGCUAUCACCAACAGCUGAUGCGCAUAGUAAUUCUGCAAAUCUUUGGCAAAGGUUCCAGUUAAGUUUCACAUGUGCAGUUCUUGACCUUCAAUGUAAUUUGGGCUUUUGAAGUGCAAUGACAAGUUUACUCUAACUGAGUUUGUGGAUUCUCUUAAAGGGAAGGCUUUGCCUAUGACUUAGAAAAGCCCCUCAGAUUUUGAAUCAAUGAACUACCAAACAAACAUACUGAGGCAGUAUUUCCAGAAAUAUUUCUCAAGUUAUCCUUACUCUCUCACUCUACCCUAUUAAGCUGCUCUGUAAAGGGUAGUCUUGGGCCAUGGAUGCAGGGCUGUAGCAGUUGGUCAUGUCUGAUUUGUUCUUGAUUCUUGAAUAUGUCCAAGAAGGAGUGAGAAACACUGCAUUGAAACACAUGACAGCUAUACCAGUAGCUUCAACACCUCUUGCAGUCUGAUUCUCCAUUGCUUUGCUCAUUUGCUGAUCAUUCUGUACGUGCAGGAGAAGGGCUGAGUGAGCAAGGCUGCAAAUGAUCACAGACCUAGUGCUUAAAGUAGCACCAGUGUAAUCAAGUGCAUGAUCUGGGCUGCAAAGGUGGGACUACGGGCUUUGAAUUUUGCUGGACACAUCUAACAAUUGCACUGCAGGUGCUUAGCAGGCAACUGCUUGUCAGCUGAAGGUAAAGCAACUGUAUUAUAGGUGAAGUUCUG